This 503-nucleotide ribosomal RNA is filed under the name uncultured bacterium. RNAcentral describes it as "partial 16S ribosomal RNA". It matches the Rfam family "Bacterial small subunit ribosomal RNA", at positions 30 to 523 of the family's 1533-position model. The record is from RNAcentral.
AUUGAACGCUGGCGGCAAGCUUAACACAUGCAAGUCGAGCGGGGGAAGGUAGGUUGCUACCGGACCUAGCGGCGGACGGGUGAGUAAUGCUUAGGAAUCUGCCUAUUAGUGGGGGACAACAUCUCGAAAGGGAUGCUAAUACCGCAUACGUCCUACGGGAGAAAGCAGGGGAUCACUUGUGACCUUGCGCUAAUAGAUGAGCCUAAGUCGGAUUAGCUAGUUGGUGGGGUAAAGGCCUACCAAGGCGACGAUCUGUAGCGGGUCUGAGAGGAUGAUCCGCCACACUGGGACUGAGACACGGCCCAGACUCCUACGGGAGGCAGCAGUGGGGAAUAUUGGACAAUGGGGGGAACCCUGAUCCAGCCAUGCCGCGUGUGUGAAGAAGGCCUUAUGGUUGUAAAGCACUUUAAGCGAGGAGGAGGCUCUUUUGGUUAACACCCAAGAUGAGUGGACGUUACUCGCAGAAUAAGCACCGGCUAACUCUGUGCCAGCCGCCGCCGUAA